CACGUAGGGCGCAAGCGUUGUCCGGAUUUACUGGGCGUAAAGAGCGCGCAGGCGGUCGGGUAAGUCGAAUGUGAAAGCCCCCGGCUCAACUGGGGAGGGUCAUUCGAUACUGUUCGACUCGAAGGCAGGAGAGGGAAGUGGAAUUCCCGGUGUAGUGGUGAAAUGCGUAGAUAUCGGGAGGAACACCAGUGGCGAAGGCGACUUCCUGGCCUGUUCUUGACGCUGAGGCGCGAAAGCUAGGGGAGCAAACGGG
Molecule: ribosomal RNA, 253 nt
Filed under: uncultured bacterium
Lineage: Bacteria
Description: partial 16S ribosomal RNA
Rfam family: Bacterial small subunit ribosomal RNA
Source: RNAcentral